CCUACGGGUGGCAGCAGUAGGGAAUAUUGCUCAAUGGGGGAAACCCUGAAGCAGCAACGCCGCGUGGAGGAUGACGGUUUUCUGAUUGUAACCUCCUUUUUUUAGAGCAGAUAAUGACGGUAUCUACCUCAUCCUCCCCGUCUCACUCCGGUCCAGCACCCGCGGUACUACGGAGGGUGCCAGCGUUAAUCGGAAUCGCUGGGCGUAACGAGCGCGUAGUCGGGAUAGCAAGUCAGCUGUGAAAUGCUAUGGCUUAACCAUAGAACUGCAGUUGCACCUGUUAGUCUAGAGUAGGGGAGAGGUAGGUGGAAUUCGUGGUGUAGGGGUGAAAUCCGUAGAGAUCAAGAGGAAUACUAAUUGCGAAGGCGACCUGCUAGAAAAUAACUGACGCUGAUGCGCGAAAGCGUGGGGAGCAAACAGGAUUAGAUACCCCUGUAGUC
This 440-nucleotide ribosomal RNA is filed under the name uncultured bacterium. RNAcentral's name for it is "partial 16S ribosomal RNA". It matches the Rfam family "Bacterial small subunit ribosomal RNA", at positions 338 to 795 of the family's 1533-position model. The record is from RNAcentral.